Molecule: ribosomal RNA, 253 nt
Filed under: uncultured bacterium
Lineage: Bacteria
Description: partial 16S ribosomal RNA
Rfam family: Bacterial small subunit ribosomal RNA
Source: RNAcentral
UACAGAGGGUGCGAGCGUUAAUCGGAAUUACUGGGCGUAAAGCGCGCGUAGGCGGCUCUGCAAGUCGGGUGUGAAAUCCCCAGGCUUAACCUGGGAACUGCAUUCGAGACUGCAUUGCUAGAGUAUGGGAGAGGGAAGUGGAAUUUCCGGUGUAGCGGUGAAAUGCGUAGAUAUCGGAAGGAACAUCAGUGGCGAAAGCGCUCUACUGGACCGCAACUGACACUCAGGGACGAAAGCUAGGGGAGCGAAUGGG